GCCCAUUGGGCCCUAUUAGGACCCCAACCCCCCUUAUAGGGUUUUAGGACCCACUUAUGGGGUCUAGGACCCACUUAUGGGGUCUAGGACCCCCCUUAUAGGGUCUAGGACCCACUUAUGGGGUCUAGGACCCCCCUUUAUAGGGUCUAGGACCCACUUAUGGGGUCUAGGCCCCACUUAUGGGGUUUUAGGCCCCACUUAUGGGGUCUAGGACCCCCUUAUAGGGUUUAGGACCCCCAAACCCACUUAUGGGGCCCAUUGGGCCCUAUUAGGACCCCAACCCCCCUUUAUAGGGUCUAGGACCCCCCUUAUAGGGUCUAGGACCCACUUAUGGGGUUUUAGGACCCACUUAUGGGGGUUUAGGACCCCCUUUAUAGGGUUUAGGACCCCCUUAUAGGGUCUAGGACCCACUUAUGGGGUCUAGGACCCACUUAUGGGGUUUUAGGCCCCACUUAUGGGGUUUAGGACCCACUUAUGGGGUCUAGGACCCACUUAUGGGGUUAAGGACCCCCCAACCCCCCUUAUGGGGUCUAGGACCCCCUUAUAGGGUUUAGGACCCACUUAUAGGGUCUAGGACCCACUUAUGGGGUUUAGGACCCCCCAACCCCCCUUAUAGGGUUUUAGGACCCCCUUUAUAGGGUCUAGGACCCCCCUUAUAGGGUCUAGGACCCACUUAUGGGGUCUAGGACCCCCCUUUAUAGGGUCUAGGACCCACUUAUAGGGUUUUAGGGCCCCUUAUGGGGUUUUAGGACCCACUUGUUGCUGUGAUGUUUGAGGUGUUUCUUGUAGGUCUCGUCCUGGAACAAGGUUUCGGGCUCGUACUUGUGGCUCCAUUCGUUCCUAUGGGGCUCUAUGGGGCCGGGCGGCUUCGCCUUCUUCCCUUUGCGACCCCGAGAAAUGGGGACGGAAAGGCCUGAAAUGGGCAAAAAGGAAAAGAAAACUUAUUAUUAUGGGGACUUAUGGGGCUGGGGACCCACUUAUGGGGCUGGGGACCCACUUAUGGGGCUGGGGACCCACUUAUGGGGCUGGGGACCCACUUAUGGGGCUGGGGACCCCAUUGAUCCCUAUGGGGACUCACUUAUGGGGCUGGGGACCCACUUAUGGGGCUGGGGAGCCACUUAUGGUCCACUUAUGUGGGCUGGGGUCCCCAUUGGCCCUAUGGGGUCCUCACUUAUGGGGGCUGGGGACAACACA
Molecule: long non-coding RNA, 1194 nt
Filed under: Coturnix japonica (Japanese quail)
Lineage: Eukaryota; Metazoa; Chordata; Aves; Galliformes; Phasianidae
Description: lncRNA (ENSCJPG00005001743.1)
Source: RNAcentral